Molecule: long non-coding RNA, 141 nt
Organism: Pipistrellus kuhlii (Kuhl's pipistrelle)
Lineage: Eukaryota; Metazoa; Chordata; Mammalia; Chiroptera; Vespertilionidae
Exons: 3
Source: RefSeq, a predicted model, not a curated record
UGCAGACUGGAGGGUCCCAGAUUCAAUCCCAGGCAGAGCAUAUGUCCAGGUUGUGGGCUGGAACUCCAGUUUGGGGCGUGCAAGAGAUGGCCAAUCAAUUAUUUUCUCUCAUCAUUGAUGUUUCUAUCUCUCUCUCUCUCU